AAGGGAGACCUAAUUCAGGUAGGAGACGAAAAAAAAGUAGUCGCUACCAAGAAUCAAUCCCAAAAGGUCGGAGCGAGGCGAAAUUGGCUUUCAAACUAGGUUCUGGGUUUACACAAGACCUGAAUCAGGAACAAGGGCUAUUAGCUCAGGUGGUUAGAGCGCACCCCUGAUAAGGGUGAGGUCCCUGGUUCGAGUCCAGGAUGGCCCACCUGUACAGGUGGCAAAAAGAAAGAAAAGAAGCGAGGAAUCAGCACCUUAUCUUACUGACAUAGUAAGAGAGAAUGCUGGCUCUGAGUAAAGAGUCCAGAGGAACCUUGAAAACUGCAUAGAGCUAGGUGAAAAAGCCAAAAAAGAAGACCGCAA
This 363-nucleotide transfer RNA is filed under the name uncultured Microcystis sp. RNAcentral's name for it is "partial 16S-23S ribosomal RNA intergenic spacer". The stretch from base 135 to 208 matches the Rfam family "tRNA". Lineage: Bacteria; Bacillati; Cyanobacteriota; Cyanophyceae; Chroococcales; Microcystaceae. The record is from RNAcentral.